AUCCGGACUGUCAGCAAAUCUGAUCCUCCAGAGAAACAAGAGAACGUAGUGCAAGGAGAAAUUGCUGGAAGCCAAGUCAAUUAAACUGAAAAUUGUUGCAUUGUUGUACAUUUUGGAACUAACAUUAUUAUACCCCUAACCAUGUAGUUAUGAGUAAGUUAUUCAGGCAUCGGCACAUUUUAGGCAAAAGUUUGUGAAAAUUUUCAAAGAAUGGAAGUUUGUUUUAGUAAAGGUAUAAAUCUGAUGUGAUCUGAUCGUACGUUGGCACUAUUCAAAUAACCAUAAUGUGGCUGCUGUUUGGUGUUUCCACCAUAAUUUCAUAAUUUUUGCAUAUACAUUAUGCAGGUCAUAGGAAAAAUUAAUAAAUAAAUAACAAAUUAAAAUGUAUGAAUUUAGGAUUUCUGUCGUUGAUGGUUGUAUUUGGGGAGUAUUUUCUUGAUGAAUAAUCAGUAAGCUGUCUGUGUAAAAAAGGGCCCAAAACGAACUACUGAAAAAAACGGCAGGGUCCAGUUGUAGAAGGGCGUAUAACACUGUCCGACGGAUAAAUUGCUCUCCAGCGGAUAACUCUUUACAAAAUGUACUGCGCUACUUACCGGAUAGAGAUUUAUCCAGUGGAUAGCGUUAUCCGAAAUUAGAACAACCAGUACCAGAUGUGCAUUACGCGAAAAACAAAGUUGAAGAAAAGCGAGACAAUUCCUUGCGUGUUACAUGCCGUAUAAAUGUCUUAAUGGAGCAGGAGAUGCUUACAACAUGGCGCAGUCUAUGGCUCAAUACCGCGGCGGAUUACUAGGAGGCUUUCUAAGAGGUUUGUCCAUUUUUGCGUUUUUUUUUCACUGGUUAUUUGGUUUUAGUGUUCCCGUUAUGUAAAGGAAGAAGUUUCACCUCUCAUGAAGUACUCAAAUGUGUGCAUUCAAUCGAUCAACUUGAACGUGACUUAUCGUGAUCUUUUGUCGGCCUGGAAAUAAAUGCCUAGGGUGCAAUUUCUGUACGGCCUGAUGAUGGGCCAGCGCUUGAAAAUUCAGUUUUAAGAACUAUUUAUGGUGGUCAAUUUAUAUUACCCACUCAAUAAAUUAAAGCACAAGUAAUGCACGAUAAAGACUUUUUUUCACCAUUUCAUCGUUUCCUGCUUCUUUCUCGAGGACUUGAAUGCCAUUUCAUUUACUUUUACUCUCUAGAUUCCUUAUUCAUUCAUCUUAUCCAGCUCCCAGGUUGGCAACAAAAUAGUCCCAGCAUUGUGUCAGACUGGAUCCAAAUUUACGAGAGGAUCAGUCAAUAAUGACAAAGGCUGCCCCAAGUGUUGAUAAUUGCAAGUCAAAGCAAGAAGAAUGAAGGGGUAAGUUUCUAAAGAAACUGUGGUGCUGCACUGGCGAGGGAGUAUAACCAGACAAUUUCGGUUUAUCAACUCAGUUGAUAAUGUAAAUUGAGCAUCACAAAGAGUUUCAAAGCUUCCAUUUCGAGCAUUAGCCCUUCAUCAGAGCCAGUGUUUAAAGCAAACGCUUUGGCAGUGUUGUCCCUCAAAGUGUCAGCUUUGAAACUCUUUAUGUGGCCAAUUUACAUUGUCAACUUAGCUGAUUAAACCAAAAUUAUUGUAAUAAUAAUAAGUAAUAAGAGGUUGAGUUUGAUUGUAUAAGAAGCCUUCAAACAAUUCUCCAUGUCUUUCAUCUGUUUUUCUUUCAUCAGUUUGGAACAAAAACCUUGUAACUCAUGUACCCUUUAUCAGGUCAAGCUUUCUAAAAUCUCUUUGAAGUUUCUAUUUUUAGUUUUCACUAUUUAUUUCUCAGAUUGCAUUUCCAUCAUGAAAUGGUGAAAAUCAGCCUUAAGGUAACAACAUUUUGUGAAGCUUCAUCCCUAUAGAUCAUUAUUCACUUUCACUUGGUUACUUAAUGAGUUUCCCUCACUUGCAGUCAGUUACAAUAAUUGGUUACUUUGAGUUCUCAACAACUCCUUUCAAUACUUACAGAUGGAUAAUGAUUGCUUCAGUUUUGGUUCUACAAUUUCCACACAUGCAUACUGCACUUUUCAGCUUGUAUUUAUGCUGUAGUUUUAACAAAGGUGUGAUUAAAUAGAUUUCAAUGA
This 2076-nucleotide long non-coding RNA is filed under the name Pocillopora damicornis (cauliflower coral). RNAcentral describes it as "uncharacterized LOC113670645, transcript variant X2". The record is from RNAcentral. Lineage: Eukaryota; Metazoa; Cnidaria; Anthozoa; Scleractinia; Pocilloporidae.